RNAcentral lists this long non-coding RNA (3171 nucleotides) under Marmota monax (woodchuck). Lineage: Eukaryota; Metazoa; Chordata; Mammalia; Rodentia; Sciuridae. The record is from RNAcentral.
AAUAGCCCCAAUCAUGCUUUGUUCAUUUUAAAUUUUUUAAACUGUGACACAGAAGGUCACACUGCUGCUGAGAGGCAAAUGUCUCCCUCAGUAACAGGCCCUUUAGGCAGAGUUUUGUGGAAAGAUUUACAGACCAGUCAAUGGAAAGGCCCAGACCCAGUGCUUAUGUGGGGCAGAGGUCAUGCUUGUAUCUUUCCAGAAAGUGCUUUUCGUCCUAUUUGGGUGCCUGAACGCGCGAUCAGACAUGGAAGAGAUAGAACCCAGAUUCAAGUGACUGAAGAUAGACCCGGAGGAGCCCCUAUCCAAAAGGAAGAGAUAUUGGAAAAAGAUGAAGAAAGACCAGAUUGACCCAGCCGAAAAUCUGAUUUCAUGGGAAGACGUGAAGAAGCUAACAACACAGGCUUCCCGAAUACUUCGACUCCUAGGAAAGAACAGGACCCCAGUGAUGAUGGUAGCAACAGUAAUUGCCCUGCUGGGCUGUCAGGUAAAGGGGGAUCAAAUAGACACUUACUGGACAUAUUUCCCAGAUCCACCCCUGGUACACCCAGCUGUGUGGACUGGAGAAUCUAUUCUAGUAUUUACUAAUGACUCAUUCAUGAUGGGAGGAUUUACAGAUACUCAUAUUACUCCCAAUCAUGUGACUAGAUUUAAUUAUUCUGGCUACAGUGCCCAAUUACCUUUGUGUUGGUCCCACGAUAAACAUGCUGGCUAUCUGAAAGUAUCAUUAGAGGAAAAGACAGUGAUUGGUAGACCUAGACUGACAAAUAAUUCUAUUUAUGGAGACUUAAAACCUUAUACUAGAUCAGUAAUUAAGAUGGGACUUUCCCAUAACAAGCCAGUCAUUUCUGCAAAACCUCCACGGAUACCCCACUGUCCAAAUAGUUCUACAAUUGAGAUUGGCACCUUUCCUAGAUGGAUGGAUUGUGUAAAUAAGGUGUCUAAACAUAAGGUACAACAUAAGGUGUCUAAAGAUAGUGGGUAUAUUUUAGACUGGUCUCCAAAAAUUGAUAAGAGACAAUUACGAAAAAAUUCUGCUAUGACGCCUGCAGGAUUUGUUAGUAAUAUUUUGACUUAUAGUGAAGGUGGUAUUCAAAAGGAUAUUUGGCGCUUAAUUGCUGCCUCAGAAUUCUUACAUUUUACAGAGAAGCCUUUACCAAAAUUUGUUGGCAAGAACUGUAAGGAGGGAUCUUGCUAUGGCUUACGAUCCUGUGUCCAGUCUCCUUAUGUUUUAAUUAUUGGAAAUGUAAAAGUUAAAUGGAUAGAUGACAGAUAUAUUGUUACUUGUAACAAAUGUAACCUAACCAAUUGUAUUACUAGGUAUAAUGGAGGAAAAGGAGUGCUGAUACUUCAUCAGCCCUCUUUUGUUUUAUUACCUGCUAAUAUUUCAGAGCCAUGGUAUGCUGAUACUGGUUUACAAGUCUUGCAGCAAAUUCAUGCCCAGCUAGCAAGACCUAAAUGUGAUAUUGGAAUUAUAAUUGUUGGUGUUUUGGCGCUAGUCUCUUUUAUUGCCUCCACUGUCUCUGCAUCUCUGACAUUGUCUCAUAAUAUUCAGCAUGCAAAAUUUCUUAAUAAUUUAGCUCAAAAUACUUCCAAGGCUCUGCGUAAUCAAGUAAAUAUUGAUGAAAGGAUUGAGCCUAAAUUAAAUGCCUUAGAGGCGACUGUUUUAGACAUAGAUAAUGAACUUUCAGCCUUAAAGUUUAAAGAGGGCUUAAAUGCCAUGCAAAUUAUAAAUAUGUGUGUGUUACAGCUGCCAAGUACAACGCUUCUCUCUGGGAUUGGGAGAAGGUUAAAAAUCAUUUGUUAGGUAUUUGGCAAAAUAGUAAUAAUAGCUUGGAUAUUCUAGAACUUCAUCACCAUAUCCAAGACAUUCAAAAUAAUAGAGCUGAUUUUUCGGAUCCUUCUUCUUUGGUUAACCAAAUAUUGAAGGAGUUGAAUGGAUUCAACCCUGGAAAUAUUCUUAAACACUCGGCCUGGUACAUUAUUGGAUUAUUCUCUUUGCUGUUAAUUCUCUUUUGUGUUGUAAUUAUAAGAUGGCGAGUCUUUGGAACAUGAAUACAGAAACUCCAAAGAGUGAACCACUGCCUCUUUUUUAAGAAAAGAAAAGGGGGAAUAUGUGGGGAGCCAUUCUCACAUGUGACUGGGCAACUCCCGGUUUGGGUCUGAGGCACUCUGGCUAAACUAUGUCGGAGCUUUCCCGACCCUCUCCUGGUGCAAGAGCCUGUCCAUGUGGGGGUGUAACUUGACCACUGACCCUGGGGCCAAUCACUGACCCUGACCUUGGAGUGCUGCCCCCCUCAACCUUCAUUGGAUGGAAUUCUCCCCUGAAUUUCUUGUUCCCCAAUAAAAGGCUACUCCCUGGCAUGCUCUCUCUCUCUCUCUCUCUCCUGCUAGCCCUGAGUAAUCCCUGCUGCCCUAUCGGGUGGUUCGAGGUGUGAGUUCAGAGGGAGAGCCAUCUCAGACCUGGUCAUAGAAAAAGGUAACUGAGUCUGUGUGUUUUAUUUCGAUCUCACUAGCUAACUUUUAUGCCAAGAACCUCUUUAAUGAAACCAGUGCGCUGAUCGCAUGGUGGAACUAAACCUUCUUGCAUUGUCUCACACACGAGCUUUGGGGGAACACCUCACAUCUAAACCAUAACCCAAGGAAGAUAUCCUUGGGUUGGAAAGAAGAAACCAUUCAUUAUGUCAAUCAAUCCUUUGAAAGUCCUGAGUAACUACCAUGAUCCAGUCUAAGCACUGUGCACACACUGUCUGUAGGCAGAGCAGUGAACUUGACAAACAUGAUCUCCACUCUUAUGGACCUUACAGUAUAUCAAGGAUACAGACCAAAACAAACCCCAAAAAAGUCUCAAGUAUUUUCAAGUUGUGAUAAGAGCUAGGAUGGAAGCAAAUAAGAUGGUCAGGGAAGUCUUCUCAGGGGAAGUGAUAUUUAAGUUGUGAUAUGAAUGAAAAGGAACCAACCACACAGAGAGCAAGGAGAAGGGUGUUCUGAGGAAGUGGAAAUUGUAUCAGCAAAGGCCCUGAGGCAGGAAAGACCUUAGUCCUGCUACACACAAAAGCUUAGCAGGAAAAGGAAUUCUGCCCAAAGUUCCUGGUCUCCCCUUCUUUGGGGAUUACCAUUAAUUCUGACUCGACUCUCAGUAUCUCUUUGUUGCAAGUUAUGCUUUACCAAAAC